Molecule: ribosomal RNA, 407 nt
Filed under: uncultured bacterium
Lineage: Bacteria
Description: partial 16S ribosomal RNA
Rfam family: Bacterial small subunit ribosomal RNA
Source: RNAcentral
AUUGAACGCUGGCGGCAGGCCUAACACAUGCAAGUCGAGCGGAGCGGCGGACGGGUGAGUAAUGUCUGGGAAACUGCCUGAUGGAGGGGGCUAACUACUGGAACCGGUAGCUAAUACCGCAUACUAUCAGAUGAGCCUCGGUCGGAUUAGCUCGUUGGUGGGGUAAAGGCCUACCAAGGCGACGAUCCGUAACUGGUCUGAGAGGAUGAUCAGUCACACUGGAACUGAGGCACGGUCCAGCCUCCUACGGGAGGCAGCGGUGGGGAAUAUUGGACAAUGGGCGAAAGCCUGAUCCAGCCAUGCCGCGUGUGUGAAGAAGGGCUUCGGAUUGUAAAGCACUUUAAGUUGGGAGGUGUUACCAACAGAUUAAGCACCGGCUAACUUCGUGCCAGCAGCCGCGGUAAUUC